UAUAGAAUACUCAAGCUAUGCAUCCAACGCGUUGGGAGCUCUCCCAUAUGGUCGACCUGCAGGCGGCCGCGAAUUCACUAGUGAUUAGAGUUUGAUCAUGGCUCAGAUUGAACGCUGGCGGUAGGCUUAACACAUGCAAGUCGUGCGAGAAAGUAUCUUCGGAUAUGAGUAGAGCGGCGGACGGGUGAGUAACGCGUAGGAAUCUACCUAGUAGAAGGGGAUAGCCCGGGGAAACUCGGAUUAAUACCGUAUACCUCCUUCGGGAGAAAGAAGGCCUCUCUUUGAAGCUUUCGCUACUAGAUGAGCCUGCGUAAGAUUAGCUUGUUGGUGAGGUAAAGGCUCACCAAGGCGACGAUCUUUAGCGGGUCUGAGAGGACGAUCCGCCACAUUGGGACUGAGACACGGCCCAGACUCCUACGGGAGGCAGCAGUGGGGAAUAUUGGACAAUGGGCGCAAGCCUGAUCCAGCCAUACCGCGUGUGUGAAGAAGGCCCUAGGGUUGUAAAGCACUUUAAGUUGGGAAGAAAAGUUAUUGGUUAAUACCCAAUAGCCGUGACAUUACCAUCAGAAUAAGGACCGGCUAAUUCCGUGCCAGCAGCCGCGGUAAUACGGAAGGUCCAAGCGUUAAUCGGAAUUACUGGGCGUAAAGCGCGCGUAGGUGGUUUAUUAAGUUGGAUGUGAAAUCCCCGGGCUCAACCUGGGAACUGCAUCCAAAACUGAUUCACUAGAGUACGAUAGAGGGAGGUAGAAUUCACAGUGUAGCGGUGGAAUGCGUAGAUAUUGUGAAGAAUACCAAUGGCGAAGGCAGCCUCCUGGAUCUGUACUGACACUGAGGUGCGAAAGCGUGGGUAGCGAACAGGAUUAGAUACCCUGGUAGUCCACGCCGUAAACGAUGUCAACUAGCUGUUGGGGAACUAUGUUCUUCAGUGGCGCAGCUAACGUAGUAAGUUGACCGCCUGGGGAGUACGGCCGCAAGGCUAAAACUCAAAUGAAUUGACGGGGACCCGCACAAGCGGUGGAGCAUGUGGUUUAAUUCGAUGCAACGCGAAAAACCUUACCUAUACUUGACAUACCUGGAAUGCUUUGUAAUGAAGUAGUGCCUUCGGGAGCCAGGAUACAGGUGCUGCAUGGCUGUCGUCAGCUCGUGUCGUGAGAUGUUCCGUUAAGUCGGAUAACGAGCGCAACCCUUACCCUUAUUUGCCAGCGAUUCGGUCGGGAACUAUAAGGGGACUGCCGGUGAUAAACCGGAGGAAGGUGAGGACGACGUCAAGUCAUCAUGGCCCUUACGUAUAGGGCUACACACGUGCUACAAUGGGGAAUACAGACGGACGCUAAGCCGCGAGGUGGUGCUAAUCCUAGAAAAUUCUUCGUAGUCCGGAUUGGAGUCUGCAACUCGACUCCAUGAAGUCGGAAUCGCUAGUAAUCGCGAAUCAGCAUGUCGCGGUGAAUACGUUCUCGGGUCUUGUACACACCGCCCGUCAUACCAUGGAAGUGGAUUGCACCAGAAGUAGAUAGUCUAACCUUCGGGAGGGCGUUUACCACGGUGUGCUUCAUGACUGGGGUAAAGUCGUAACAAGGUAAAUCGAAUUCCCGCGGCCGCCAUGGCGGCCGGGAGCAUGCGACGUCGGGCCCAA
RNAcentral lists this ribosomal RNA (1633 nucleotides) under uncultured bacterium. RNAcentral describes it as "partial 16S ribosomal RNA". It matches the Rfam family "Bacterial small subunit ribosomal RNA". The record is from RNAcentral.